ACGUCCUUAGUUCAAUUGGUAGAGCGUUGGUUUCCAAAACCAAAUGUUGUGGGUUCAAGUCCUACAGGACGUG
This 73-nucleotide transfer RNA is filed under the name Medakamo hakoo. RNAcentral's name for it is "trnW-CCA". It matches the Rfam family "tRNA". From Rfam's summary of the family: Transfer RNA (tRNA) molecules are approximately 80 nucleotides in length. Their secondary structure includes four short double-helical elements and three loops (D, anti-codon, and T loops). The record is from RNAcentral. Lineage: Eukaryota; Viridiplantae; Chlorophyta; Trebouxiophyceae; Coccomyxaceae.